This 305-nucleotide unclassified non-coding RNA is filed under the name uncultured fungus. RNAcentral describes it as "sequence contains ITS1, 5.8S rRNA gene". The stretch from base 257 to 305 matches the Rfam family "5.8S ribosomal RNA", at positions 1 to 49 of the family's 154-position model. Lineage: Eukaryota; Fungi. The record is from RNAcentral.
UUUCCGUAGGUGAACCUGCGGAAGGAUCAUUAAAUAAAUUGAUAAUUUCUCCCAAGAAUUAUCUAAAUUUACUGUGAACUGUAGUUGGCUUACAUGGCACAUAAGGGGAAUGCUCGGCAUACCAUAUGGGUAGGUAUGCUUAGGACGCUCAAGUACCUAGCCAUGGUCAGGCUUUAUGCCUGGUACCCAGAUAAUUAUUUACCAAAAGAAUUCAGUUAAACUUAAACGUAACAUAGGCCGUAAUAGUCUAUAAAACAACUUUUAACAACGGAUCUCUUGGUUCUCGCAUCGAUGAAGAACGCAGC